AUUGAACGCUGGCGGCAUGCCUUACACAUGCAAGUCGAACGGCAGCACGGGAGCAAUCCUGGUGGCGAGUGGCGAACGGGUGAGUAAAGUAUCGGAACGUGCCUAUUCGUGGGGGAUAACUAGUCGAAAGACUAGCUAGUACCGCAUAAGCUCGAGAGAGGAAAGCGGGGGAUCGUAAGACCUCGCGCAGAUGGAGCGGCCGAUGUCCGAUUAGCUAGUUGGUGAGGUAAAGGCUCACCAAGGCGACGAUCGGUAGCUGGUCUGAGAGGACGACCAGCCACACUGGGACUGAGACACGGCCCAGACUCCUACGGGAGGCAGCAGUGGGGAAUUUUGGACAAUGGGGGCAACCCUGAUCCAGCCAUUCCGCGUGUGGGAAGAAGGCCUUCGGGUUGUAAACCACUUUCGGACGGGAAGAAAUCGACGUGACGAAUAAUCGUGUCGGAUGACGGUACCGUAAGAAGAAGCACCGGCUAACUACGUGCCAGCCGCCGCCGUAA
This 500-nucleotide ribosomal RNA is filed under the name uncultured bacterium. RNAcentral describes it as "partial 16S ribosomal RNA". It matches the Rfam family "Bacterial small subunit ribosomal RNA", at positions 29 to 523 of the family's 1533-position model. The record is from RNAcentral.